This 465-nucleotide ribosomal RNA is filed under the name uncultured bacterium. Its description in RNAcentral is "partial 16S ribosomal RNA". It matches the Rfam family "Bacterial small subunit ribosomal RNA", at positions 28 to 507 of the family's 1533-position model. The record is from RNAcentral.
GACGAACGCUGGCGUGCUUAACACAUGCAAGUCGACCGGAAAGGCCCUGCUUUUGUGGGGUGCUCGAGUGGCGAACGGGUGAGUAACACGUGAGUAACCUGCCCUUGACUUUGGGAUAACUUCAGGAAACUGGGGCUAAUACCGGAUAGGAGCUCCUGCUGCAUGGUGGGGGUUGGAAAGUUUCGGCGGUUGGGGAUGGACUCGCGGCUUAUCAGCUUGUUGGUGGGGUAGUGGCUUACCAAGGCUUUGACGGGUAGCCGGCCUGAGAGGGUGACCGGCCACAUUGGGACUGAGAUACGGCCCAGACUCCUACGGGAGGCAGCAGUGGGGAAUAUUGCACAAUGGGCGGAAGCCUGAUGCAGCAACGCCGCGUGCGGGAUGACGGCCUUCGGGUUGUAAACCGCUUUCGCCUGUGACGAAGCGUGAGUGACGGUAAUGGGUAAAGAAGCACCGGCUAACUACGUG